RNAcentral lists this ribosomal RNA (279 nucleotides) under uncultured bacterium. Its description in RNAcentral is "partial 16S ribosomal RNA". It matches the Rfam family "Bacterial small subunit ribosomal RNA", at positions 506 to 784 of the family's 1533-position model. The record is from RNAcentral.
UGCCAGCAGCCGCGGUAAUACGGAGGGUGCAAGCGUUGUUCGGAAUUAUUGGGCGUAAAGCGCGUGUAGGCGGUUCGUUAAGUCUGAUGUGAAAGCCCUGGGCUCAACCCAGGAAGUGCGCUCGAUACUGGCGAGCUAGAGUACGGGAGAGGGUAGCGGAAUUCCCGGUGUAGAGGUGAAAUUCGUAGAUAUCGGGAGGAACACCAGUGGCGAAGGCGGCUUACUGGCCAGAUACUGACGCUGAGGUGCGAAAGCGUGGGGAGCAAACAGGAUUAGAUA